AUGUCAUGAUGUGGACACUUCCUAAGCAAUUUAUUAAAGCGUUCCCAUGCCUCAUGAAAUGUUUCUCCAUCCCCAUGUGAAAAUUCUCAAAUUGAGGUUCUCAUGGU
Molecule: small nucleolar RNA, 107 nt
Organism: Cornus florida
Lineage: Eukaryota; Viridiplantae; Streptophyta; Magnoliopsida; Cornales; Cornaceae
Source: RefSeq, a predicted model, not a curated record